Long non-coding RNA from Ruditapes philippinarum (Manila clam), 7019 nucleotides. RefSeq lists it as uncharacterized. The transcript is spliced from 2 exons. NCBI's taxonomy places the organism in Eukaryota, Metazoa, Mollusca, Bivalvia, Venerida, Veneridae. The record is from RefSeq and is a predicted model, not a curated record.
UAUCUAAUUAUACCCCCACCACAAAAUGUGGGGGGGGCUAUAAUGGAUUCGCUUUGUCGCGUCGGUCGGUCGGUCAGUCGGUCGGUCGGUCCGUCCGUCUCCAUUUUCGUGUCCGCUCUAUAACUCCUAUACCACUUGAAGGAUUUUCUUCAAACUUGGCUCAAAUGUUCACCUCAGCAAGGGGAUGUGCAGAACCCAUGUUGCCCAUGUGUCAGCUCAAGGUCAAGGUCACAAUUGAAGGUCAAAUAUCAAACACAAUCAUAUAUUAGACAGUAUGUCGUGUCCGCUCUGUAGGUCCUACAAUAAUUGAAAGAUUUUCUUCAAACUUGGCUAAAAUGUUCACCUCAACAAGGGGAUGUGCAGAACUCAUGUUGCCCAUGUGUCAUUUUAAGGUCAAGGUCACAAUUGAAGGUCAAAUAUCAAACAAUCAAAUUUAACACAAUAUGUCGUGUCCGCUCUGUAAGUCCUACACUUAUUGAAAGAUUUUCUUCAAACUUGGCUCAAAUGUUCAUUUCAACGAUGGGAUGUGCAGAACCCAUGUUGCCCAUGUGUCAGCUCAAGGUCAAGGUCACAAUUGAAGGUCAAAUAUCAAACAAUCAAAUAUUACACAGUAUGUUGUGUCCGCUCUGUAAGUCCUACACUUAUUGAAAGAUUUUCUUCAAACUUGGCUCAAAUGUUCACCUCAACAAGGUUAUGUGCAGAACCCAUGUCACUCUUUUGCCGGCUUAAGGUCAAGGUCACACUUGAAGGUCAAAAAUUGACUUAGAAAAUGUUCUUUAAUUUUAAACAUAUAUCUGAAUAUUUCUGAAUCUAGGAAAGGUAUUUGCUUGAAACUUAAAAUAUAAACGAAGUGUCACAAUUAAGAUAUGCUGGUCAAGUUUCAUAACUCUGUAUUGCAUUUUAACAAAGUUAUGCCCCUUUUUAAUCUUCAAAUAUACAUACAAUCACAUAUUAGACAAUAUGUUGUGUCCGCUCUAUAAAUCCUAUAGUAAUGGAAGAAUUUUCUUCAACCUUUUCUCAAAUGUUCACUUAAACAAGUUAUGUGCAGAAUCCAUGUCACCUUUGUGCAGGCUAAAGGUCAAGGUCAGACUUGAAGGUCAAAAAUUGACUUAGAAAAUGUUCUUAGAUUAAAACAUGUUCUUGAAUAUUUUCGGAAACUAGCAUAGGUAUUUGCUUGAAACUUAAAAGAUAUAUGAGGGUCACAAUUACGAUAUGCAGGUCAAGUUUCAUAACUCUGUAUUGGAUUUUGACAAAGUUAUGCCCCUUUUUAAGUCUUUAAAUUUACAUACAAUCAAUACUAGACAAUAUGUUGUGUCCGCUCUAUAAAUUCUAUACUAAUGGAAGGAUUUUCUUCAAACUUUACUCAAAUGUUCACUCCAAUUGGGCGAUGUGCAGAACCCAUCUUACCCUAGUGCCAGCUGAAGGUCAAGGCCACACUUGAAGGUCAAAAAUUGACUUAUAAAAAGUUUAGUAUAUUGGGAAAAUGAAAGGUUAUUUGUAACUGUUUCAAACAUGAUUUGAUAAUAGAUAUUUUUACUAUUACCUGUACAAUUAUGUCUUUUUUUCACCAGAGAUAAUUUCUUUUUAUGUAUUUGUGUCACUUAAGUUAUUCCCUUAACCACCUUUCCAAGUUGUCUUCUGUCAAGGACAUUGGUGGGGGUAUGAAUCGCAUUCAGCGAUAGUUCUAGUUAUGUUUUAACAUGAUUCUGUAUUUAAUAUAUAUUUAUAAUGUCAAAGAUUUAUAACACGCUGGGCUUUUUUUUUUGAUUGCCAGAAGCUUGUUGAUGUUAUACCUGCUUUUGUCUUUUCAAUAGGAAUAGUAUCAAAUUUGUAAUCCAGGGGUCACUGAGAGCAUCGAAUUUGUAAUCCAUUUAGGGCCGCGGGUUCAAUCAACAAGCAAGAUGUAGCUUUCCUUGACAAUCGAUCACUGACAUUUAGUCUUAUAGUCAUUUGUCUCUCAUCAAUCAUAUGGGAUUAGUAUUUGGUCACUUGCGUAGAAAUUGGUUAUUACUGGUUAGUUGUCCACAAAAGCCAAUAAGGUCGAUUGACCGCUAAAGUAUGACCGAAAACACGAGUUAAAAUUGUUGUAAAAAUCCAGAAAAACAAACAUGAAGUCAUUUAAGGCAGUGGCUUGGAAUACUUCUGGUGCAAAUCUUUGAAGUGCCCUUGAUCACAUGUUUUGCUAUGUUUGGUUGCAGAAAAUUGGGUCUUCAGUUACUAUCAGGUAUUUCAAUCUAAAUAUUUCCCUGAACUUUUUGGACAACCUUUUUGCAGCAGGAUAGUGAGUUUGUGUGAGAAUAGGUGAUUUGUGUUUAAGUAGUCAUUUUUCUCAAACUUUUAAUUAUAAAAGCCAAAAUCUUGUCCAGAAAUCCAUUUCCAUCCUCUUCAGUACAAAAAUAUCAUUAUAUCACUAUUUUUUUUAAACUUUUCUGUACUUAAAGAAUGUAGUUUGGAUAAAAGUUGUAUGUUUUUCCCUAUUUGGGAAAAAGUAAUUGUUUUUCCCACUCACCUGUCUGUCCCAAUUAGUUUCUUGUUUGAUGUAUACCAAAAUUAAGAUAUGAUGUAUACCAAAUCAUGGCUGUAUAUGAUAUACCAAAUAAGAUCCUUGUUAGAUAUGAGUUAAAUUAGUUGCCAUUUGGUAUACCAAAUUAGGCCCUUGUUAGAUAUGAGUUAAAUUAGUUGCCAUCUGGUAUACCAAAUAAGAUCCUUGUUAGAUAUGAGUUAAAUUAGUUGCCAUUUGGUAUACCAAAUUAGGCCCUUGUAUCAUAUACAAACUAAGAUCUUUAAAUGAUAUACCAAAUUAGGUUUUUGAAUGAUAUACCAACUAAGAUCUUUAAAUGAUAUACUAAAUUAGGUUUUUGCAUGAUUUGAAUGAUAUACCAAAAUUUUUGUGUUAGAUCUUUGUAUAGUAUGCCAAAUCAGGACUCUGUCUGGUAAAUUUGAUUAUGAAUAUAAUUAGGACUUUGUAUGGCAUACCAAAUUAGGUCUUUGUAUGGUACACUGAAUUAGGACUUUGUAUGGUAUACUAAAUACAACUUUAAUCAGGACUUUAUAUCGUAUACUAAAUUAGGACUUUGUAUGGCAUACCAAAUUAGGACUUUGUAUGGUAUACUAAAUACAACUUUAAUUAGGACUUUAAAUGGCAUAACAAAUUAGGUCUUAAUAAGAUAUAUUGAAUACGGCAAUUGUAAAUAUGAAUAACUAACUUUUGUUUAAAUUUGUUAAUUAGUGUAUUUUAUGAUAUAUCAAAAUUUUGUUAUUGUAUGGUAUACAAAGGAUAUAACUUAACUAAAAGUUAUUAUUUGUUUUGUUAAGCUCAAUUCAUUUUAUUUUUUUUGAAAUAAACCUAUUUCUUGGGGAAAAAAGCUAUCACGUAAAAAAGGAAAUAGCUAUUGUAGAAUUUAUAUUAUAGAAUUUAUAUUUAUAUUGCAGUUUUAUAAAAGAUUUUAUAAUUAUUAUUAUUAUUAUAAUUAUUUUACACUGUUUUUAAGAAGGAUUUUUUAUAGAAAUAAAUGUACAUGUAUAGUUUAAGUUAUGAUGUCAAUGAACUUGUGAGUUAACUAAUUUAUAUAUUCAAAUUAAUUAUCUAAUGCCAUAUUCUUUUUAAGUUUCUUUUUUUUUUAUAAAAGGUGAUAAUGUCGAGAUUUAAACCAUGAAAAUCUGAGAUGUAAUUGUUUCAUGAAUGACAUAAUUAUUGUUACCACUUUUAUUUAUAUGUUGCCACAUUUUACACUUUUUGGAAACUUUGAUAGGAAUCAAAAAAAAAUGAAAGCUUUUGAAAAAUAAAAACAGUUAAUGGGGGGAAUAAUGGGCCUUUAAAGAAAAAAAAAACAGCAUAACUUGUCAAAUGUCAUGCCAUGUUAAAAACUUACCUUAUUUUCACAUAUCAUACUUCUACAAGAUUUAGUUUUGUUUCAUGCCAUGUGAAAAUUGAUUAAGGCUCAUGUAUCAGUUUUAAAGAUAACAUUUCACAUUUCAUGCCAUGUGAAAAUUGAUUGAGGCUCUUGUAUAACAUUUCACAUUUCAUGCCAUGUGAAAAUUUAGAUUAAAAUUUAUGAAAGGUAACAUUUUACUUUUUGUGCCAUAUGAGCAUUGUUUAAAGAACCUGUAACUCAUUUUUUAUGGUUUUAUAUCAUACGUAUAAUGCUCCAAUAAAGAUUAUCAAUAUUGUAAGUUCCUAAGUUCUUAUAUAGCAAGAUAUUACUGAAUUUACGUUUCAUUUUAAUAUAGGGAGGUAAUUAGAAAUUUAUUUUUAGUCUAAGUUUUCAAUAGAAAAUGAAUGCAUAUAUUUUAAUGAUUACAUAUAAUGUGGACAAAUAUUUGCAGUACACAUUUUACAUAUCCUUCGAUGUUUGAAAAUUGUUUUAGAAGCAUAAUUAUAUACAUAUAUAAAAUUUCACAUAAGUGUGGUAACAACCUUAAUUACAACAUACAGGAAUCUUUAAGGUUCAUAUAUCAAAUUUAAAAGAUAAAGUUUCAUAUUUCUUGCCAUGUGAAAAUUGAUUUAGGUUCAUGUAUCAGGUUUAAAGAUACCGUAUUGGAUAUCAUGCCAUAUGAACAUUGUAUCAAGUUUAAAGAUAACAUUUCCCAUUCUUGCUAUCGGAAAAUUGAUUAAAUUUCAGAUAUGAUAUCAGGUUUAUGAAGAGUGGUUUAAAUUUCAUGCCAUGUGAACUUUAAUCUAGGUUCAAAUAUCAAAUUCAAAGAUAAAACUUGACAUUUCAUGUCAUGUGUUAAAAAAUGAAAUAUCACACCAGGUUUAAAGAUAAUUUUGGUAGGUUUCAAGUACCACAUAAUGUGUUUAAUAGAAAAUACCAUGUGUUCAUUGAAAAAAGACUGUUAUACUCUUAACCGUUCUUAUUUUAGAUAUGUGAUAAACAGAAUUUCAUAUUUGUGUAGAUUUAAUACUAAAUUUAUUGAACUUGUUAAAUAAAACAAUAUUAUGCUCCCUAGAGGCUCUCAUAUGAUUUUAUCCAACUCGUUCAAUAAAUUCAGUAUUAAACCUACACUCAUUCAAUAUCCUCUAUUUUCAUUAUUAUCAACAGUUAAUUUGAAGCAAAAUUUCUGCAUUUAUUAUUUCAUUCAACAUUAUUUCACCCAUUUACUCUCUUACACUCAGGUGGGGAAAAAAAGUCAUAAAAAUUUCAGGUAAUGAAAGGACUGUCUGCAAUAUAUGUAGAUUUAUGUUAAUUUAUUAACAUGUUGAGUGCUAGAGUUUUUAUUUAGUUACCUUGACUAACAGUAUAGAGCCUUUGCCAACAGUAUAAAGUGUUUACCACAAGUAAUAUUAUAGUGUUUAAUACUGGUAUUGAGUGUUUUACACUGGUAUUGAGUGUUUUACACUGAUAUAAAGUCUUUUACACUAUUGUAAAGUGUUUUACAAUGGUAUAGUUUACACCAUUUGUUUAAACGCUGGUAAAGAGUUUUAAACACUAGUAUAGAGCGUUUAAACACUGCUAUAUAGUUUUUAACACUAUUGUAAAGUGCAUGCAUCAGUGCUUUAUACUAUGAAUGAAAACAAACAGGGGUUGCCUCUAGAAUGGGGCAGUUGGCUGUAUCAAUUCAUAACCCUGUAAAUUACAACUAAUUCUGACAGUAAAUAAACCUUAAGAAAAAUAUAAUUUGUCAGUUUCUUUUGUCAGUAUGUUCUGUUAAUGUUACACAAAUUUGCCGGGAUUUGCAAAUUUCUGUGUGACAAUUGUUCUUUAAGUUUAAUUGUCAUGUCUCAGCCCUGACUAAGAAAUCACGUUGGAUUGGUAAAGAAGUUGUAAUUAACUGGUUAUGUGCCCAGCUAGCCUGGGCUAGUGAGUGGCCUGUCCUCCAUGCUAUGACCAAAAAUGUGUUAAAAUUGGUAAAAAUCAAAACAUACCAACCAAACAAUAAAAGAUACAGGUUCAGAUUACUAGCUAGUCAUGUCUGGUAUUAUUUGUGAACUACUGUCAUUAUUUUUCUACUGAAUCUUUUAAAGGGACUCCACUGAGGUGAAUCUUUUAAAGGGACUCCAUAGAGGUGAAUCUUUUAAAGGGAGUCCACCAAGGUGAAUCUUUUAAAGGGACUCCACAGAGGUGAAUCUUUUAAAGGGACUCCACAGAGGUGAAUCUUUUAAAGGGACUCCACAGAGGUGAAUCUUUUAAAGGGACUCCACUGAGGUGAAUCUUUUAAAGGGACUCCAUCAAGGUGAAUCUUCUAAAGGGACUCCACUGAAGUUUUUAUAACGUGAAGGCAAUGGAAAUAUUUUUUUAAGCUUUGUAUAUCAAUUUUAUGUAGAUCUGGACUCAUAACUUUUGUGCAAACUUUCGGGUCAUUCCCUUAUUCCAAAAUUUUAAUGUAAAUAAAAUAAUCAUUUUAACUGUGCAAAAUGACCCUAAAACAUUAAGACACUUUUCCACUCAAAUCAGACUUGGAGUUGCACAAACCGGUACACUUUUAAUUUUAUUCCGAGUAUAAUUUAGCACCUUUUUUAAUGGUUUGAAGUAUUUCCUUAUAUGAAUUACAAUUGUAAGAGUUAUGAAUCAAAAGACAUGUGUUUUUUUCUUGAUAUUUUUUACUUUUAUCAUUUUAGUCAUAUCAUUUUGUAUGUAUUAUUGCCACUUUGCUCACUGUUAUAUUUUUGUUUGUAAAUGUUAACCGUAUAUCAUCUAAUGAAUGCCCAAGGGUCUUACAUCUUCCUAAAGGGAUUUAAUUAAAGAUAUACUAUGCUCAUCAUUGAGUAAAAUAUUUUAAUCACAGAUAUUUAUUGAAAUCUUUGAAAUUCUUACUGAGUAUGUCUGAUUUGAAUAAAAGAAUGAAUAAAGUUUGUAUGGGAAGCUGCGUUCCCUUUUACAUGCCAAGUAAAGUUGGUAUUUUCUUAAAAAUCUGCCAGUUUUUUUUAAUUACACUAUAUAUUAUAUUGUGACCAUCUAUAGUGUAGAAUUUUAAACAUGAUAUAUCAACUUUGUGUGGAGUCAAAACAUAUUUAUUAAAUAUUUUUAAAGAGACUGUAUCAAUUAUCAGUAUUUUCUAUUAUCAAAUUUGGCCAUUGU